CGCUGCGUUAGGGGCGACGGCAACUAGGCGCAGGGGCAAGUUAUGGUGGGAACUUCUGUCCGUGCUGUGUGAUUGCGACGAGGGCGACCGCCGCCAGCAGCAGCGUGUCGCCGAUUUCGUCUUUGCCGACAUCGAGCAAGUGCAGCUCGCCGGGGUAGUUCUGAACUUAGUGUCACACAUUACUUCCCCCCUUUUCUUUGGCUUCUGGAUUGGAUUGGCGCGGCUCGCUACGUGCUUGCGCGCGCUUUUCCGAGCGCAGAUUGGUGUGCGCCUGGUUGCUGCACUAGGCUGUUAUGCGAUCGCUUUUUCGAGCGCAGAUUGAUGUGAGCCUGGUUUGUGCACUAGGCUUUUGCACGAUCGCCUGCUUUUUGCACUGGGCUUUCAAAAGGCGAAGUGAGCGUCGCUUACCAUAGAAUAAAGAACAACUUCCGCGCUUACUGCGGAAGUGCAGCGCCGCGGGCCUACCGUGUAUGGAAGCGCGCAGCAAUGCCGGGAAACAUUCAUACAAAAGCAAAGGGUCAGAAAAGUGCGCUUUAUUUUCCAUUACUAUGUCACAGUGGGUAGCGCCGUGCGAUCGCUUCAAAUAAACGCAGAAACGAGUCCUUGCAGCGCAUGUGCCCAUUAAUCGAUGCCCACCAUAGCCAUAUCAGGUGCGACUCGAGAAGCUGUGGAGUCACCCUGUAGCCGGCGGAGUCGAGGUAGCGCUUCACCUUCUGCCAGUAGCUUUCGAUUUUCUGGGUGUGAGCGCCCGUGAUUGGGUCUACAAAGUUCAUGCUGUGGUUAACAGCCUCCCAUUGCAAAUUCAGUCUUGCUCCGUUAGCCCCCACCAAGUUCGGGAUGCAGUUGUAUGGGGCCCAUUCAUCACUGUGGAUGGUGGUUCCCGGUUCAACGUUGGCUGCAAUAAUGGGGCCUAGCGUCGCCGCGUCUCGUCGGUCGACCUUGAAUAGUCGGAGCUCCCCGGUGGUCACGCAGAUCAUGCCGAAUACCCAUGGUCCACGAUCUGCAAUGCCGCCGUAAUUUUGGCGGCUCGGCGGAACGUUGUCGCCCGUCAUCAGGCGGCCUCGAUUGUAUUUUCGCUUGCCGCGAAGGAGGCAUUCAUCAAUUUGCACAAUCCUCCCGGGGCCACCGAGUGGGGGUCGCGCCAGCAGCUCGUCCCGCACGACCUCACGAGCGUAGUUCCUCCAGUCGGCGAUGACAUGGUCCGACAGAUUAAGCAAGUCGCCGGUCAUCUCCUUCAUGAGCCACGUGCCUAUGUUUUUGCUCACGCAGUACAUGAGCCAAAUCACUUGCCGCCUGCAGUAAGCGACGCUCACUUCGCCUUCUGAAAGCCCAGUGCAAAAAGCAGGCGAUCGUGCAAAAGCCUAGUGCAGAAACCAGGCUCACAUCAAUCUGCGCUCGAAAAAGCGAUCGCAUAACAGCCUAGUGCAGAAACCAGGCGCACACCAAUCUGCGCUCGGAAAAGCGCGCGCAAGCACGUAGCGAGCCGCGCCAAUCCAAUCCAGAAGCCAAAGAAAAGGGGGGAAGUAAUGUGUGACACUAAGUUCAGAACUACCGCUCGCCGGACCGUCACAAGCACCCGAAGUGCUGUGGUUUGCACUGCGUCUUUCAUUGUGAUAUGGGAGAUCGCAACGCACAGAGAGGACCAGAUGCAUACGAACGACUACCAGCGGGGGGUGACCUGUGCCAUAUUUCUCUUAACGUCUCAGGUACACUCUGGCGGCGCCUACCCCUGCGUCCUACUACCACCCUGUCCUGACUACAUCCACUAGGGAGUUCGGAGCCAUUGGCGGCUUCUGCCACUGCACCCUGCCACCACCAUGUCCCGACCACGUCCACUAGGGAGUUGGCAGCCUUAGUGAUGAUGCUAAGCAGGCUGACAGCAGACAGAAAUAUUCAGGUUGCCUUGUAAUUUUACCCUAGCCAUGCCACAUACUCGAGCUAGGCCUCUUGCGAACUACGUAUAACCAGGCUCAACGCAUCAGUGUCGAGUGAGUCCGCAGAUCAAGGAAACCUGCUGUGCAACCAGCUCGCAACACUUGGUGACCCCUCUACGUGUUCCAUCUAUUUCACAGUUGUACUUCAUCUUCCAUCUAUCCAAACAGCAUCACCAGCUGUUUCUUAUCUUAUCGAUCACUUAUCGAACCAUGGAUGAAUGUUGGGGUGGAGCGAUUUGUACAGACAUUCUAUUUGUCUCUUCAAAUUCUUUGCAAAUAUUUCUAUUAUUAUAAUUCAUAUGUUUCUUUAGUACCUAGUUUUUAAUAGUUCCUUUCUCAUAGAGUUCUCACCAUCAACUCCUGCUAUUAUUAUGUGUACCCGUCUUUAUGCCCCGUUUCUCAUAGUUCUUUUGUACUUGCGGAUGUAAUUGAUAGGUUCUUAAUUCUUGUUGUACAGAAGGCUAAAAUGAAAACUUACGGUAUUUUUUUUUUCCUUUGAUAACCUAGAGCACUGCAAUGUGUUCAAGAAAUUUAACAUAACACGGGCUCUAGUGCAGGAUAAAUUUAAGAGCAAUAUAGAGUACUUAUUUCAAGCACCCGUUAUUUUUGAAAAACUCAAGGAUAUAAGAGCACAAGAAAGAAAAUAUUAAACUAGAGAAACAUGGGUUCCCCUCAUAAGUCUGGUAAUAAUGUGAUUUCCUUUCACUGCAAAGGUACUGGUACUCGCAUACAAGGUUUGAGACAUGAAAGCGAUGAUACCCUUGGCAUUUCUCAGUCCUUAUUUGCCACACUGACGAAUGUCAAAGGCAGCAUAGGUUUCAUGCACACAUUGGUUGUAUUACACCUUUUGAGUAUUGCAUUUCUCAAACACACCGGUUUGCCACAGUGCUUUAAAUAGCAGAUGUAUUUCCUAAUUUUCAGAAUUUCUUAGUGCAAGAGUAACGCUACAGAUCAUGGAUAAAUAAUUUUACAGAUGUCCAUGGAUGUAUGCUUCUGAUGAUGUGCCAUGUGGUCAGGGGAUGAAUGUCUUUAUUUCGGAUUUAAACAUUGGCUUCCAGGUCUGGGUAAGUCUCCUACACUGAGUAUUCUAGGUCAGAGCCCAUUUACUAGAGGAAAGUAAAUUAAACUAGUAAUUGUAAACACCAAAAGAUCUUGUUCGGGACAAUAAUGUGGCAAUCAGCAAGGUUCUUUGUGCAUUCAUUUCCAAAUUUGUGAGAUUAUAUUGUGACUGGUUUCACUAACGCGAGCAUAAAUAUUUGUUUGUUCUCACACUAGAGUUGGCUGCCCCCAUUGCCACACAACCCCUUUACAGGCUAAAAAUUUAUUGUAAUAAUAGGCUGUUUUUUGGUUUUGCGCGCUCAUUGUUAAGGGA
This is a long non-coding RNA of Dermacentor albipictus, 3306 nucleotides long. RefSeq lists it as uncharacterized. The record is from RefSeq and is a predicted model, not a curated record. NCBI's taxonomy places the organism in Eukaryota, Metazoa, Arthropoda, Arachnida, Ixodida, Ixodidae.